AGACAAUAAGUAAGUAAACUGAUUACGGAAAGAAGUAUUACAGAGUACCUUAAGUUUUUAUGGAAAAAAUACAUACUGGGUGAUUAGAUCCAGGGUGACUAAAAGAUGCCAUUCUAGAUUAAAUGCUAAGGUAAGGACUCAUAUGUGAGUCAAGACCUGAUGGAAGAAGGUUUUAAAAGCACAACACAGAACAGGAGAAACUGGGUUCUAGGCAGAAGGAAACAGAACUUUCCAACAAUGGCGGGUGGACCAUCCAUCUUUACUGAACCUUGUAAUAGGAGGCAUGAAGGAUGAGAAGAUUUUAUUGCCACCGGGAAACCCCCAGCCACACAGGAUAGAAAAUGGCAGGAAGAAAUAAUGAUGUAAAGAGCAGAAAUGGCUACAGAGGUAAUUAUGGGCUAGAAGUGAUAUCACCAGGAAGGUGACAGUGGUAGAUCCUGACUUUGCACCCCUGCCCAAGAAUUGAAAACAUUCUAGAAUGUGAAGGUGAGGCUGAAGCACCUCUGCACCACAACCACAGAGAAAGAAGAAAAACAUGAAAAUUGGGGGCUCAGAGAGAGACUUACUGCCCAUGUGCGUGCACACUUAGUGCCCACCAAGAAGCCCUCAGCUAAAUGACUCCAUGGCUGCAAAAAUGUAUGACCUUGAACAGCACAUCAAGCCCCUGUCUGUUCGCCCUAUGCGCCAGGUCAUUCCGGAGAAACAAGGUCUGAGGUACCCUGGGACCCCAGCCGCAGCUCCAGCAGCUCCUCCCAAACUACAGCCUCUUGGAUAUGAACAGCAGAGCCCAGAUUCCUUCACAGCCGACCUGGGGCUAACCUCCUCCAGGAUCUGUCCCUCUGUCUGCUGCAUGAUGGAAAGACAAGGACUUUCAACAGGUGGCAUGAGGCCAGGGAAACAGCCUCCAUACACACUCGCACUGAUCGUGUUAAUCAGUCUGUUUAAGAAGCAGACUAAAGAUGAAGAUCAUUAAGCUACGAUUCAUACCAACAAUAUAUAAUUAAAAAGUUAAAAAAAAAAAAAAAGAGGGGUGCCUGGGGGGUCAGUUGUUAAAGCCUCUGCCUUCAGCUUGGGUCAUGAUCUCAGGGUCCUGGGAUCAAGCCCCACAUUGGAGUCUCUGCUCAGCAGGGAGCCUGCUUCCUCCUCUCUCUCUCUGCCUGCCUUUCUGCCUACUUGUGAUUUCUCUGUCAAAUAAAUAAAUAAAAUCUUAAAUAAAAAAAAGAAAGAAAACCUGUUUGCCUCACUGCUUUCA
This 1252-nucleotide long non-coding RNA is filed under the name Mustela putorius furo (domestic ferret). Its description in RNAcentral is "lncRNA (ENSMPUG00000030141.1)". The record is from RNAcentral. Lineage: Eukaryota; Metazoa; Chordata; Mammalia; Carnivora; Mustelidae.